CCUACGGGAGGCAGCAGUGAGGAAUAUUGGUCAAUGGACGAGAGUCUGAACCAGCCAAGUAGCGUGAAGGAUGACUGCCCUAUGGGUUGUAAACUUCUUUUAUAUGGGAAUAAAACGUUCCACGUGUGGGAUUUUGUAUGUACCAUAUGAAUAAGGAUCGGCUAACUCCGUGCCAGCAGCCGCGGUAAUACGGAGGAUCCGAGCGUUAUCCGGAUUUAUUGGGUUUAAAGGGUGCGUAGGUUGAUUGUUAAGUCAGUUGUGAAAGUUUGCGGCCCAACCGUAAAAUUGCAGUUGAAACUGGCAGUCUUGAGUACAGUAGAGGUGGGCGGAAUUCGUGGUGUAGCGGUGAAAUGCUUAGAUAUCACGAAGAACUCCGAUUGCGAAGGCAGUUCACUGGACUGCAACUGACACUGAGGCUCGAAAGUGUGGGUAUCAAACAGGAUUAGAUACCCCGGUAGUC
This 460-nucleotide ribosomal RNA is filed under the name uncultured bacterium. RNAcentral's name for it is "partial 16S ribosomal RNA". It matches the Rfam family "Bacterial small subunit ribosomal RNA", at positions 338 to 795 of the family's 1533-position model. The record is from RNAcentral.